This 334-nucleotide unclassified non-coding RNA is filed under the name Hevea brasiliensis (rubber tree). The record is from RNAcentral. Lineage: Eukaryota; Viridiplantae; Streptophyta; Magnoliopsida; Malpighiales; Euphorbiaceae.
AGGCAUUUCAGUUGCUGUGGCCUUGAUGGGUUGGAAACUUCUUGCACUACAUCUCUGUGAGGAAGAUGACCCAGACGUAACUGAAGUGCCAAAAAUGCUCUUGGAAGAUUUUAGAUCAUGCUUGAAACUAAUGCUUGAAACCUUAAAACGAUCGGACGGUGAGGGAGAGAGCUCAGUACGGGAAGCCUCGAUCAAAGGAGCGGUAGCAGUAGAUCUGAGGAGAGAAGAGAAAGCCAUUGCAGUCUGUAACUUGGAGCUCCUCCCUCAAAAACCCUAACAAAGAGGAUAGAAGAAAGAGAUUGCGUUUUUUUUUUUUCCAAGGUUGCGGCUGUUG